UCUAAUCAAGCUAUGGAACGAUUGGGCU
This 28-nucleotide non-coding RNA is filed under the name Bombyx mori (domestic silkworm). Lineage: Eukaryota; Metazoa; Arthropoda; Insecta; Lepidoptera; Bombycidae. The record is from RNAcentral.